This is a transfer RNA of 75 nucleotides. It matches the Rfam family "tRNA". Rfam says of the family: Transfer RNA (tRNA) molecules are approximately 80 nucleotides in length. Their secondary structure includes four short double-helical elements and three loops (D, anti-codon, and T loops).
GCCCGAGUAGCUCAGCCUGGAUAGAGCACCUGCCUUCUAAGCAGGUGGUCGAGGGUUCAAAUCCCUUCUCGGGCG